This 253-nucleotide ribosomal RNA is filed under the name uncultured bacterium. Its description in RNAcentral is "partial 16S ribosomal RNA". It matches the Rfam family "Bacterial small subunit ribosomal RNA", at positions 524 to 776 of the family's 1533-position model. The record is from RNAcentral.
UACGAAGGGGGCUAGCGUUGCUCGGAAUCACUGGGCGUAAAGGGUGCGUAGGCGGGUCUUUAAGUCAGGGGUGAAAUCCUGGAGCUCAACUCCAGAACUGCCUUUGAUACUGAGGAUCUUGAGUUCGGGAGAGGUGAGUGGAACUGCGAGUGUAGAGGUGAAAUUCGUAGAUAUUCGCAAGAACACCAGGGGCGAAGGCGGCUCACUGGCCCGAUACUGACGCUGAGGCACGAAAGCGGGGGGAGCAAACAGG